AGAGGGGACGUAACAAGUCGGAUAGAGGGGAGCUGGAUUUAUGACGUUCUGAUGAUACAAUCGAAUCAAAUAAACCAUCUAUAAAUCAGUGUCCGAUUCGAGUGAUAUCUUGUCGGACGUCAUUUCUUCGUGCAUCAGGAAUAUAAAGGCAGUGAAGCUCAAGGUUCGAAGACAAAAAGUGCAGACCCACAAGACGGCAUAUUGUCCGUACUCUGUGGUUAAGUGAACAAAGAGCGCACGAGACCGGCCUAAUAAGGAUCUUCACGCGUUAUAAUGUUCGGUUUCAGAUUAUUUGAUAAUCCCUUUGUUUGUGUUAUCCGAGUUUCUAAUUUGUGGUCGUAAUCGUAGUCGAUACUAUUUCUUGAUGAUUCAAUUUCCUCAUCUCAAACAUUUGUAUUUCCUGUGUGUUUACAUAACAUUGACAUCCACUAGUAAAUAAAUUUAAAUUUUAAAAUU
RNAcentral lists this unclassified non-coding RNA (456 nucleotides) under Melitaea cinxia (Glanville fritillary). RNAcentral's name for it is "misc RNA ENSMCXG00005014528.1". The record is from RNAcentral. Lineage: Eukaryota; Metazoa; Arthropoda; Insecta; Lepidoptera; Nymphalidae.